Molecule: small nucleolar RNA, 701 nt
Filed under: Homo sapiens (human)
Lineage: Eukaryota; Metazoa; Chordata; Mammalia; Primates; Hominidae
Description: small nucleolar RNA, H/ACA box 59B
Rfam family: Small nucleolar RNA ACA59 (bases 350-501)
Source: RNAcentral
AACAUAGAGUACACAUUUUCUGUUUUGUUUAAGAAUUAUUCUCUUGCAGACCUAUGUUUUUUGUUUUUGUUUUUCUAUCCUUGGCAGAGUUUUUUAACAUGGAUUUUUUACUUCACUUUUAAUAUUUUAUUUACAUUUUAUAUUUGAGUAAAUUCAUUAACUAUAUCUAAGUCAAAAUGCUUAAUGGUAUAUAGGAUUCCACUAUAUGUGAUAUACUUUUAAAAUCAAUUUCCUAUGGUUGAAUAGUUUAUUUCCAAUGUUUCAAUAUUAACAACUCUUCAAGGAACAUCCUAGGAAAAAAUAUCUUCAUAUACUUGUCUGAUUAUUUCUUUAAGAUUCAUAAAAGUGGGCCCAGGGUAUGUUCACGGGGCGAUGCUGCCCUCCCAGCUGGCCCAUGGGUGACCCUGGGAACAUUAACUGCCUCACAACGUUUGUGCCUCAGUUACCCGUAGAUGUAGUGAGGGUAACAAUACUUACUCUCGUUGGUGAUAAGGAACAGCUAACACAACACACAGGGUUUUUCUGCUCCCAAAAUGGGAUUCUUCAGUGCACCAAAUCGAAGAAAGCACUGGAGCUCACGCUGGUUUCUCCAUUGUUUCUCCUUAACAGUGGAAACUGUAACUUUUGUUCUAGUAGCAUCUAGCAUGCUCAAUAAUUAUUUGUAAAUAAAAGUUAUACUUUCCCUCCAAAAAAAAAAAAAA